AUUGGUUCUCAACUGGAGUGAUUUUGUCCCUCAGAGACAUUUGGCAAUGUCUGAAGACAUAAAUUUCACAACUGAGCCUAGGGGUACUGUUGGCAUCUAGUGGGCAGAGGCCAAGAUACUGGCAACAUGAAGUAGAUACAGAUCAGGUUAAUCACAACCAUGAAGUCAACUGUGCUCCAAGUGUCCCAGAGACCUUCAACUCACAGAGGCCAUGAUCUACAGAGGGGGUAAAUGAAGCCCUGGAGAAACUGACAGAUUUCCUCCAAGUUUCGGACUAUUUAUAGAGAUGUCGAUGAAUGUGUGGUGGUGAAUGGAGGCUGCCAGCAGUGCUGUAUUAACACUCUGGGCACCUUCCACUGUGAAUGUGAUACGGGAUACAGACUCCAUGCUGAUGAAUGCACCUGCAUAAAGAUGGACCCCUGCACAGGUGGGAAUGGAUAUGCCCACAUCUGUCAGAGUGAGAAUGGUGUGGCCAGGUGUUCUGUCGCCCAGGGUACCAGCUGUCUGAAGACAAAAAGGCCUGUGGAGACCUUGAUGAAUGUGAGAGUGGAGAACGCUGCUGUGCCCAACUCUGUGUCGUCGUCGACUGUUUAGGAAGCUAUGAAGGUAACAGCCUUAGAUGAUGGCAAGCUGGAGGAAGAGCGGAAGAAUUAGAAGUUGUAAGAUGUCCAGGUCUUCGAUUCAAGAGCCCACCUCAACUGCUUCAUGAUGCCGCUAUCUCUGUGCCUCCCACGCACGAAGAUGAAGAAGAUGAUGAUGAGGAGGAAACACAUAUUUGAGGAGAACUGACUGCUUUGAGCAAAAUUAGUGAGAAUGAAGCAUCUCAUUUCCAUUUCCAGUGAUAUAAAUGGUAUGAACCAACUAAGAUGGUAUCAUCAUUCAGUGGGUGAAGAUCACACCUUCAGACACAAUAGCAGUGUGAGCUGUGAGGACCAUAGGAAAGGAGGCAGAUGCCUGGAAGGAAGGAGUGAGUGCUCUUGCCCAGAUGACUGGGGAGAUAAUCUUUGCAGCACACUUUUUCUCCAGAGACCCAUGGAAAAGUAUCUAGCAGCAUCUGUGAUUGUCAGAAUGGAGGCACCCAUGAUCCUCUGGACAGUGCCAGUACUUCCCCCUCCAAGAGUUCCUGGGAAAACCUACUGUUUAUAGGAGGUAGCUGGUGCUAGUCACAUGACAUAGCUCCUUAACUUCUUGAAGCUUCUAAUAAGAAAUAAACUAAGUGAAAAUUACAUCUAAGGGCACUUGGGUGGCUCAGUCAGUUGAGUGUCAACUCUUGGUCAAUUCUUGGUUCUGGCUCAGGUCAUGAUCUUAUGGGUCAUGA
Molecule: long non-coding RNA, 1318 nt
Organism: Canis lupus familiaris (dog)
Lineage: Eukaryota; Metazoa; Chordata; Mammalia; Carnivora; Canidae
Exons: 8
Source: RefSeq, a predicted model, not a curated record